This 788-nucleotide long non-coding RNA is filed under the name Ananas comosus (pineapple). RNAcentral's name for it is "long non-coding RNA (ACOM_LNC005974)". The record is from RNAcentral. Lineage: Eukaryota; Viridiplantae; Streptophyta; Magnoliopsida; Poales; Bromeliaceae.
AAAAUAAAGAGAGAAAAAUAAAAGUAAAAAAAAAAGUAUGUUAGUCGAUCGGGUGAUCGAUACUUUCCAGAAGAAAACAAAAAAGAAAAAAAAUUAUUUGAAUUAUAAACUAUUUUGAAUUGGCUAUGAAAUUUUUCAAAGUUUUACUUUAGUUAUCUAAUCUUUCAGUUUGUUUGAUUUGAAAUAGUGAACAAUACUUUAACUUUACAAUUUGAAUGCGUUAUUUAUCUUUACAUAUUUAAUUAGCAUAUUUCGUACAAUUCUCAUAACUACAAAUUUAUUAAAAUAAGUAAUCAGUUUAAAUUUUAAUGUCAAAGUAUGUUGGCCGACUAAAAUCAAACAAAUUGAAAAAUUAGGUAGUAAAAUCAAAAUUUUGAAAAAUAGGAUAGUCAAUUUGUUAAGCUCCAACUUCAAUAUUAUAUUAAGUUAUAUGAAAUAACUACUGUUCUCUAAAAGUUUAAGCCGAUAGAAAUGGUAUUUUUAUAUUUAUAUAUUCAAUGCUAUUAAAUACAAAAAUAUUUAAACACUGUUCUCUAUCAUCAUCUUAAGUUUUUAGAGAAUAAUGGUUGUGUCAUUUAGUUUAACAUAGUACGAGAGUAAGAGGUCUUGAUUUCGAAUCACGCCAGGCUAAAUCUUCAGUAUUAGACGUAAAGAAAAGUGUUAAAUAUAAAAAUAUAUAAGUUUUCAGAGAAUAAUGGCUCAGCAUCUAGUACUUCGAAAUAAUAAUCACCUGCAUUGACAAAACUAACGAAGGUAAACGCAACAAUUAAACAAAUAAACGAAGCUUU